AGCGUACACGGUGGAUGCCCUGGCAGUCAGAGGCGAUGAAGGACGUGCUAAUCUGCGAUAAGCGUCGGUAAGGUGAUAUGAACCGUUAUAACCGGCGAUUUCCGAAUGGGGAAACCCAGUGUGAUUCGUCACACUAUCAUUAACUGAAUCCAUAGGUUAAUGAGGCGAACCGGGGGAACUGAAACAUCUAAGUACCCCGAGGAAAAGAAAUCAACCGAGAUUCCCCCAGUAGCGGCGAGCGAACGGGGAGCAGCCCAGAGCCUGAAUCAGUAUGUGUGUUAGUGGAAGCGUCUGGAAAGGCGCGCGAUACAGGGUGACAGCCCCGUACACAAAAAUGCACAUGCUGUGAGCUCGAUGAGUAGGGCGGGACACGUGGUAUCCUGUCUGAAUAUGGGGGGACCAUCCUCCAAGGCUAAAUACUCCUGACUGACCGAUAGUGAACCAGUACCGUGAGGGAAAGGCGAAAAGAACCCCGGCGAGGGGAGUGAAAAAGAACCUGAAACCGUGUACGUACAAGCAGUGGGAGCACGCUUAGGCGUGUGACUGCGUACCUUUUGUAUAAUGGGUCAGCGACUUAUAUUCUGUAGCAAGGUUAACCGAAUAGGGGAGCCGAAGGGAAACCGAGUCUUAACUGGGCGUUAAGUUGCAGGGUAUAGACCCGAAACCCGGUGAUCUAGCCAUGGGCAGGUUGAAGGUUGGGUAACACUAACUGGAGGACCGAACCGACUAAUGUUGAAAAAUUAGCGGAUGACUUGUGGCUGGGGGUGAAAGGCCAAUCAAACCGGGAGAUAGCUGGUUCUCCCCGAAAGCUAUUUAGGUAGCGCCUCGUGAAUUCAUCUCCGGGGGUAGAGCACUGUUUCGGCAAGGGGGUCAUCCCGACUUACCAACCCGAUGCAAACUGCGAAUACCGGAGAAUGUUAUCACGGGAGACACACGGCGGGUGCUAACGUCCGUCGUGAAGAGGGAAACAACCCAGACCGCCAGCUAAGGUCCCAAAGUCAUGGUUAAGUGGGAAACGAUGUGGGAAGGCCCAGACAGCCAGGAUGUUGGCUUAGAAGCAGCCAUCAUUUAAAGAAAGCGUAAUAGCUCACUGGUCGAGUCGGCCUGCGCGGAAGAUGUAACGGGGCUAAACCAUGCACCGAAGCUGCGGCAGCGACGCUGAUGCGUUGUUGGGUAGGGGAGCGUUCUGUAAGCCUGUGAAGGUGUGCUGUGAGGCAUGCUGGAGGUAUCAGAAGUGCGAAUGCUGACAUAAGUAACGAUAAAGCGGGUGAAAAGCCCGCUCGCCGGAAGACCAAGGGUUCCUGUCCAACGUUAAUCGGGGCAGGGUGAGUCGACCCCUAAGGCGAGGCCGAAAGGCGUAGUCGAUGGGAAACAGGUUAAUAUUCCUGUACUUGGUGUUACUGCGAAGGGGGGACGGAGAAGGCUAUGUUGGCCGGGCGACGGUUGUCCCGGUUUAAGCGUGUAGGCUGGUUUUCCAGGCAAAUCCGGAAAAUCAAGGCUGAGGCGUGAUGACGAGGCACUACGGUGCUGAAGCAACAAAUGCCCUGCUUCCAGGAAAAGCCUCUAAGCAUCAGGUAACAUCAAAUCGUACCCCAAACCGACACAGGUGGUCAGGUAGAGAAUACCAAGGCGCUUGAGAGAACUCGGGUGAAGGAACUAGGCAAAAUGGUGCCGUAACUUCGGGAGAAGGCACGCUGAUAUGUAGGUGAAGUCCCUCGCGGAUGGAGCUGAAAUCAGUCGAAGAUACCAGCUGGCUGCAACUGUUUAUUAAAAACACAGCACUGUGCAAACACGAAAGUGGACGUAUACGGUGUGACGCCUGCCCGGUGCCGGAAGGUUAAUUGAUGGGGUUAGCGCAAGCGAAGCUCUUGAUCGAAGCCCCGGUAAACGGCGGCCGUAACUAUAACGGUCCUAAGGUAGCGAAAUUCCUUGUCGGGUAAGUUCCGACCUGCACGAAUGGCGUAAUGAUGGCCAGGCUGUCUCCACCCGAGACUCAGUGAAAUUGAACUCGCUGUGAAGAUGCAGUGUACCCGCGGCAAGACGGAAAGACCCCGUGAACCUUUACUAUAGCUUGACACUGAACAUUGAGCCUUGAUGUGUAGGAUAGGUGGGAGGCUUUGAAGUGUGGACGCCAGUCUGCAUGGAGCCGACCUUGAAAUACCACCCUUUAAUGUUUGAUGUUCUAACGUUGACCCGUAAUCCGGGUUGCGGACAGUGUCUGGUGGGUAGUUUGACUGGGGCGGUCUCCUCCUAAAGAGUAACGGAGGAGCACGAAGGUUGGCUAAUCCUGGUCGGACAUCAGGAGGUUAGUGCAAUGGCAUAAGCCAGCUUGACUGCGAGCGUGACGGCGCGAGCAGGUGCGAAAGCAGGUCAUAGUGAUCCGGUGGUUCUGAAUGGAAGGGCCAUCGCUCAACGGAUAAAAGGUACUCCGGGGAUAACAGGCUGAUACCGCCCAAGAGUUCAUAUCGACGGCGGUGUUUGGCACCUCGAUGUCGGCUCAUCACAUCCUGGGGCUGAAGUAGGUCCCAAGGGUAUGGCUGUUCGCCAUUUAAAGUGGUACGCGAGCUGGGUUUAGAACGUCGUGAGACAGUUCGGUCCCUAUCUGCCGUGGGCGCUGGAGAACUGAGGGGGGCUGCUCCUAGUACGAGAGGACCGGAGUGGACGCAUCACUGGUGUUCGGGUUGUCAUGCCAAUGGCACUGCCCGGUAGCUAAAUGCGGAAGAGAUAAGUGCUGAAAGCAUCUAAGCACGAAACUUGCCCCGAGAUGAGUUCUCCCUGACUCCUUGA
RNAcentral lists this ribosomal RNA (2787 nucleotides) under Escherichia coli. RNAcentral's name for it is "bacterial LSU rRNA". It matches the Rfam family "Bacterial large subunit ribosomal RNA". Lineage: Bacteria; Pseudomonadati; Pseudomonadota; Gammaproteobacteria; Enterobacterales; Enterobacteriaceae. The record is from RNAcentral.